UAGGGAAUCUUCCGCAAUGGACGCAAGUCUGACGGAGCAACGCCGCGUGAGUGAAGAAGGAUUUCGGUUCGUAAAACUCUGUUGUUAGAGAAGAACAGCGCAUAGAGUAACUGUUAUGCGUGUGACGGUAUCUAACCAGAAAGCCACGGCUAACUACGUGCCAGCAGCCGCGGUAAUACGUAGGUCCCGAGCGUUGUCCGGAUUUAUUGGGCAUAAAGCGAGCGCAGGCGGUUAGAAAAGUCUGAAGUGAAAGGCAGUGGCUCAACCAUUGUAGGCUUUGGAAACUGUUUAACUUGAGUGCAGAAGGGGAGAGUGGAAUUCCAUGUGUAGCGGUGAAAUGCGUAGAUAUAUGGAGGAACACCGGUGGCGAAAGCGGCUCUCUGGUCUGUAACUGACGCUGAGGCUCGAAAGCGUGGGGAGCGAACAGG
This 428-nucleotide ribosomal RNA is filed under the name Bacteroidota bacterium. RNAcentral describes it as "Bacteroidetes bacterium partial 16S ribosomal RNA". It matches the Rfam family "Bacterial small subunit ribosomal RNA", at positions 355 to 776 of the family's 1533-position model. Lineage: Bacteria; Pseudomonadati; Bacteroidota. The record is from RNAcentral.